This 870-nucleotide ribosomal RNA is filed under the name uncultured bacterium. RNAcentral's name for it is "bacterial SSU rRNA". It matches the Rfam family "Bacterial small subunit ribosomal RNA", at positions 66 to 931 of the family's 1533-position model. The record is from RNAcentral.
ACGGACUCCUGGAUGGGUAACUUGAAAGGAAGUCAGUGGCGAACGGGUGAGGAAUGCAUGGAUAACGUACCCCAGACUCAGGGAUAGCGGCGGACCUUUGGUCCUUUGCGAAAGCGCCGGUAAUACCUGAUGAUCCCCUUGUGUCGCAUGGCAUGAGGGGCAAAGCUCCGACGGUCUGGGAGCGAUUCAUGUCCUAUCAGCUUGUUGGUGGGGUAACGGCCUACCAAGGCGACGACGGGUAGCGGGCGUGAGAGCGCGUCCCGCCACAUCGGAACUGAGACACUGUCCGGACACCUACGGGUGGCUGCAGCAACGAAUAUUCCCCAAUGGACGCAAGUCUGAGGGAGCGACGCCGCGUGCAGGAAGAAGUCCCUCGGGAUGUAAACUGCUGUCAGGGGUUAGGAAGAUCUGACCAGCCCCAGAGGAAGCACCGGCUAACUCCGUGCCAGCAGCCGCGGUAAUACGGAGGGUGCAAGCGUUGUUCGGAAUUACUGGGCUUAAAGCGCGUGCAGGCGGAAUAUCAGGUGCCUUGUGAAAGCCCUCGGCUCAACCGAGGAACUGCUCGGCAAACCGGUAUUCUUGAGACAGGUAGAGGUGAUUGGAACGACUGGUGGAGCGGUGAAAUGCGUAGAUAUCAGUUGGAACGCCGGUGGCGAAAGCGGAUCACUGGACCUGCUCUGACGCUGAGACGCGAAAGCGUGGGUAGCAAACAGGAUUAGAUACCCUGGUAGUCCACGCCGUAAACGAUGCGCACUAGGUAUGAGAGGUUCUGACGCCGAUCGUGCCGAAGCAAAAGUGAUAAGUGCGCCGCCUGGGGAGUACGGCCGCAAGGCUAAAACUCAAAGGAAUUGACGGGGGCUCACACAAGCG